Molecule: long non-coding RNA, 228 nt
Filed under: Salvia miltiorrhiza (redroot sage)
Lineage: Eukaryota; Viridiplantae; Streptophyta; Magnoliopsida; Lamiales; Lamiaceae
Description: long non-coding RNA (SMIL_LNC012956)
Source: RNAcentral
UAUAUUGUUACUAAUUAUUAUUAAAUUACGAUUUUAUUAAAAAAGAACAAGUAAAAACCUAGAAAAUCAUUGAAAGUACAAACAAGCAGACCAAGGACUGAGCAUCAUUAAAAUAUAUUUAAGGAAAGUCCAAUGAAAAAACUUUAAGGAAAAAAAUAUUAUUAUCUAUUACAAAAAAUCUCGAAGAAAAAAAUAAAAACAAACCACAAUCUGCGGCUCAUAAGAAAG